Long non-coding RNA from Lagopus leucura (white-tailed ptarmigan), 372 nucleotides. RefSeq lists it as uncharacterized. The transcript is spliced from 3 exons. NCBI's taxonomy places the organism in Eukaryota, Metazoa, Chordata, Aves, Galliformes, Phasianidae. The record is from RefSeq and is a predicted model, not a curated record.
AUUUCUCUCUAGAGGUCUCUUCCUGGUGAAGCUUUCCCCUGUGGACCUGGAGCCUUCAGAUAUGGAACUCCACUGUGUGUUGCUGAGGCUAGAGUCAAAGUUUUCCGGUCACCAAGCUGCAGAGCAGCCUAUGUCUCUAGAACUUCACCAAGACUUCUCCCAAAGCGACCUACAACUAUUUCUGAGUAAGGAGGCUGCUGUUGUUUUAAGUUAAAGCAUGGAAUAGUUCAGUUCAAUGCUGCUGCUUUCUUCAGUACAGAAAAUGACAACUGAAAAAAGCAAUGGGAAAAGCAAAGGGGAGAAAAUGCUCAAAGCACAGAAAACAAAGUAAGAAAUGUAGAAUAAAGAUGAAGAAUUUGUGUUUCAGUGAAA